GACGAACGCUAGCUGCGGGCCUAAUACAUGCAAGUAGAAGGCACGGUUUAUACCGUAGCUUGCUACACCAUAGACUGUGAGUUACGGACGGGUGAGUAACGCGUAGGUAACCUGCCUCGUAGCGGGGGCUCACCAAUGGAAACGAUAGCUACUACCGCAUAAUAUUGAUUAUUGCAGGUUAAUUCAUUGAAAGGUGCAAUUGCACCACUACCAGCUGGACCUGCGUUGUAUUAGCUAGUAGGGGAGGUAACGGCCCACCUAGGCGAGGAUGCAUAGCCGACCGGGGAGGGUGAGCAGCCACACUGAGACUGAGACACGGCCCAGACUCCUACGGGAGGCAGCAGUAGGGAAUCGGAGGCUAUGGACGAGAGUCUGACCGAGCAACGCCGAGUGAGUGAAGAAGGUGGUCGGAUCGUGAAGUUCUGUUGUAAGUGAAGAGCGGGUGUGAGAGUGGAAGGUUCACACUGUGACGGUAUCGUACCAGAAAGGGACGGCUAACUCCGUG
This 505-nucleotide ribosomal RNA is filed under the name uncultured bacterium. RNAcentral describes it as "partial 16S ribosomal RNA". It matches the Rfam family "Bacterial small subunit ribosomal RNA", at positions 28 to 507 of the family's 1533-position model. The record is from RNAcentral.